UACGGAGGGUCCGAGCGUUAUCCGGAAUCAUUGGGUUUAAAGGGUCCGUAGGCGGGAAUCUAAGUCAGUGGUGAAAUCUUGCAGCUCAACUGUAAAAUUGCCAUUGAUACUGGAUUUCUUGAAUUAGUGUGAAGUGGUUAGAAUGUGUAGUGUAGCGGUGAAAUGCAUAGAUAUUACACAGAAUACCAAUUGCGAAGGCAGAUCACUAACACUAUAUUGACGCUAAGGGACGAAAGCGUGGGGAGCGAACAGGAUUAGAUACCCCAGUAGUCC
RNAcentral lists this ribosomal RNA (273 nucleotides) under uncultured bacterium. RNAcentral's name for it is "partial 16S ribosomal RNA". It matches the Rfam family "Bacterial small subunit ribosomal RNA", at positions 524 to 796 of the family's 1533-position model. The record is from RNAcentral.